UGUGGAAAUUAUGAAAAAUGGGGUACGGAUUGAAUUUCCUGAAAAUGCCAUCCAUUUCCUGAUUUGCC
Molecule: non-coding RNA, 68 nt
Organism: Pelobates cultripes (western spadefoot toad)
Lineage: Eukaryota; Metazoa; Chordata; Amphibia; Anura; Pelobatidae
Source: the annotation of a GenBank genome assembly